RNAcentral lists this ribosomal RNA (369 nucleotides) under uncultured bacterium. RNAcentral's name for it is "bacterial SSU rRNA". It matches the Rfam family "Bacterial small subunit ribosomal RNA", at positions 525 to 896 of the family's 1533-position model. The record is from RNAcentral.
ACGAAGGGACCUAGCGUAGUUCGGAAUUACUGGGCGUAAAGCGCGCGUAGGCCGUUGAGUUAGUUAAUUGUGAAAUCCCAAAGCUUAACUUUGGAACUGCAAUUAAAACUGCUCGACUAGAGUUUGAUAGAGGAAAGCGGAAUACAUAGUGUAGAGGUGAAAUUCGUAGAUAUUAUGUAGAACACCAGUUGCGAAGGCGGCUUUCUGGAUCAACACUGACGCUGAGGCGCGAAAGUAUGGGUAGCAAAGAGGAUUAGAUACCCUCGUAGUCCAUACCAUAAACGAUGAUUGCUAGAUGUUGGAAAUUUAUUUUCAGUAUCGCAGCUAACGCAUUAAGCAAUCCGCCUGGGGAGUACGACCGCAAGGUUA